This 427-nucleotide ribosomal RNA is filed under the name uncultured bacterium. RNAcentral's name for it is "bacterial SSU rRNA". It matches the Rfam family "Bacterial small subunit ribosomal RNA", at positions 355 to 774 of the family's 1533-position model. The record is from RNAcentral.
UGGGGAAUUUUGGACAAUGGGGGCAACCCUGAUCCAGCAAUGCCGCGUGCAGGAAGAAGGCCUUCGGGUUGUAAACUGCUUUUGUACGGAACGAAAAGGCUCUGGUUAAUACCUGGGGCACAUGACGGUACCGUAAGAAUAAGCACCGGCUAACUACGUGCCAGCAGCCGCGGUAAUACGUAGGGUGCAAGCGUUAAUCGGAAUUACUGGGCGUAAAGCGUGCGCAGGCGGUGCUGUAAGACAGGCGUGAAAUCCCCGGGCUUAACCUGGGAAUGGCGCUUGUGACUGCAGCGCUGGAGUGUGGCAGAGGGGGAUGGAAUUCCGCGUGUAGCAGUGAAAUGCGUAGAUAUGCGGAGGAACACCGAUGGCGAAGGCAAUCCCCUGGGCCUGCACUGACGCUCAUGCACGAAAGCGUGGGGAGCAAACA